RNAcentral lists this small RNA (108 nucleotides) under Marmota monax (woodchuck). The record is from RNAcentral. Lineage: Eukaryota; Metazoa; Chordata; Mammalia; Rodentia; Sciuridae.
GCCUGGGCAUGGUGGCACAUGCCUGUAAUCCCAGCAACUCAGGAGGCUGAGGAAGGAGGAUCACAGGUUUGAGGCCAGUCUCAGCAACUUAGUGGGACUCUGUCUCAG